RNAcentral lists this unclassified non-coding RNA (253 nucleotides) under uncultured Planctomycetota bacterium. RNAcentral describes it as "uncultured planctomycete contains 16S-23S intergenic spacer region". It matches the Rfam family "Bacterial small subunit ribosomal RNA", at positions 524 to 776 of the family's 1533-position model. Lineage: Bacteria; Pseudomonadati; Planctomycetota. The record is from RNAcentral.
GACAGAGGUGGCGACCGUUGUUCGGAAUCACUGGGCAUAAAGCGCGCGUAGGCGGCAUAGUAAGUCGGGUGUGAAAUCCCUCGGCCCAACCGAGGAAUUGCGCUCGAAACUACCUUGCUUGAGGACAGGAGGGGAGCCUGGAAUUCCUGGUGGAGCGGUGAAAUGCGUUGAUAUCAGGAGGAACACCGGCGGCGAAGGCGAGGCUCUGGCCUGUUUCUGACGCUGAGGCGCGAAAGCUAGGGGAGCAAACGGG